This 460-nucleotide ribosomal RNA is filed under the name uncultured bacterium. Its description in RNAcentral is "partial 16S ribosomal RNA". It matches the Rfam family "Bacterial small subunit ribosomal RNA", at positions 338 to 795 of the family's 1533-position model. The record is from RNAcentral.
CCUACGGGUGGCUGCAGUGAGGAAUAUUGGUCAAUGGACGAGAGUCUGAACCAGCCAAGUAGCGUGAAGGAUGACUGCCCUAUGGGUUGUAAACUUCUUUUAUAUGGGAAUAAAAUGUUCCACGUGUGGGAUUUUGUAUGUACCAUAUGAAUAAGGAUCGGCUAACUCCGCGCCAGCAGCCGCGGUAAUACGGAGGAUCCGAGCGUUAUCCGGAUUUAUUGGGUUUAAAGGGAGCGUAGGUGGAUUGUUAAGUCAGGUGUGAAAGUUUGCGGCCCAACCGGAAAAUUGCAGUUGAAACUGGCAGUCUUGAGUACAGUAGAGGUGGGCGGAAUUCGUGGUGUAGCGGUGAAAUGCGUAGAUAUCACGAAGAACUCCGAUUGCGAAGGCAGUUCACUGGACUGCAACUGACACUGAGGCUCGAAAGUGUGGGUAUCAAACAGGAUUAGAUACCCCAGUAGUC